CCUACGGGCGGCAGCAGUGGGGAAUCUUGCGCAAUGGGCGAAAGCCUGACGCAGCGACGCCGCGUGGGGGAUGAAGGUCUUCGGAUCGUAAACCUCUGUCAGCAGGGAAGAACGGUCACUGUGCUAAUCAGCAGUGAAUUGACGGUACCUGCAAAGGAAGCACCGGCUAACUCCGUGCCAGCAGCCGCGGUAAUACGGAGGGUGCGAGCGUUAUGCGGAAUUACUGGGCGUAAAGCGCUCGUAGGCGGUAUGUCAAGUCAAGGGUGAAAGCCCCGGGCUCAACGUGGGAACUGCCUUUGAAACUGGCAAACUGGAGUGUGUGAGAGGAUAGUGGAACUCCAGGUGUAGGAGUGAAAUCCGUAGAUAUCUGGAGGAACAUCAGUGGCGAAGGCGACUAUCUGGCACAUAACUGACGCUGAGGAGCGAAAGCGUGGGUAGCAAACAGGAUUAGAUACCCGGGUAGUC
Molecule: ribosomal RNA, 465 nt
Filed under: uncultured bacterium
Lineage: Bacteria
Description: partial 16S ribosomal RNA
Rfam family: Bacterial small subunit ribosomal RNA
Source: RNAcentral